RNAcentral lists this ribosomal RNA (613 nucleotides) under Eutypella sp. HUEFS 131070. RNAcentral describes it as "eukaryotic LSU rRNA". The stretch from base 240 to 393 matches the Rfam family "5.8S ribosomal RNA". The record is from RNAcentral. Lineage: Eukaryota; Fungi; Ascomycota; Sordariomycetes; Xylariales; Diatrypaceae.
CUUGGUCAUUUAGAGGAAGUAAAAGUCGUAACAAGGUCUCCGUUGGUGAACCAGCGGAGGGAUCAUUACAGAGUUUUCUAACUCCCAAACCCAUGUGAACUUACCUAUGUUGCCUCGGCGGGGAAGCCUACCCGGUACCUACGCUGUAGUUACCCGGGAAAAGCUGUUAUACCCGUCGGUGGACCAUAUAAAUUCUUGUUUUUCUGUGGCACUUCUGAAUUUUAUACUUAAUAAGUUAAAACUUUCAACAACGGAUCUCUUGGUUCUGGCAUCGAUGAAGAACGCAGCGAAAUGCGAUAAGUAAUGUGAAUUGCAGAAUUCAGUGAAUCAUCGAAUCUUUGAACGCACAUUGCGCCCAUUAGUAUUCUAGUGGGCAUGCCUGUUCGAGCGUCAUUUCGACCAUCAAGCCCUAGUUGCUUGGAGUUGGGACUUGAUCUCCGGAUCAUUCCUUAAAGACAUUGGCGGAGUCGCGGUGACCCCAAGCGUAGUAAUUUGUUUCUCGCUUUAGGUGUGUCGGCGCUGACGUCUAGCCGUUAAACCCUUAUUUUUUUAGGUUUGACCUCGGAUCAGGUAGGAAUACCCGCUGAACUUAAGCAUAUCAAUAAGCGGAGGA